This 467-nucleotide ribosomal RNA is filed under the name uncultured bacterium. RNAcentral's name for it is "partial 16S ribosomal RNA". It matches the Rfam family "Bacterial small subunit ribosomal RNA", at positions 28 to 507 of the family's 1533-position model. The record is from RNAcentral.
GAUGAACGCUGGCGGCGUGCUUAACACAUGCAAGUCGAACGGAAAGGCUCCUGCUUGCAGGGGUACUCGAGUGGCGAACGGGUGAGUAACAUGUGGGUGAUCUUCCCUGCACUUCGGGAUAAGCCUGGGAAACUGGGUCUAAUACCGGAUAGGACCACAUUUUGGAUGGUGUGGUGGAAAGUUUUUCGGUGUGGGAUGAGCUCGCUGCCUAUCAGCUUGUUGGUGGGGUAAUGGCCUACCAAGGCGUCGACGGGUAGCCGGCCUGAGAGGGUGUACGGCCAGAUUGGGACUGAGAUACGGCCCAGAGUCGUACAGGAGGGAGCAGUGGGGAAUAUUGCACAAAGGGCGCAAGCCUGAUGGAGCGAGGCCGCGUGGGGGAUGACGGCCUUCGGGUUGUAAAAUCCGUUCGCUAGGGACGAAGCGUUUUUGUGACGGUACCUGGAGAAGAAGCACCGGCUAACUACGUG